RNAcentral lists this long non-coding RNA (32759 nucleotides) under Gallus gallus (chicken). The record is from RNAcentral. Lineage: Eukaryota; Metazoa; Chordata; Aves; Galliformes; Phasianidae.
CGAAGGGGCCGCUCCGGAGCGGGGGCCGAGCCGCGCUCCCAUUGGGCGGCCGCCGCGUCGAUCCGCCCGGUUGUGGCGCCCCAUUGGCGGCGGGGGCGGGGCGGGGGCGGGGCGGGGCGGCCCCCGCCCUGUGACUAACUCCCGUGUGUGAGUCACGGCGCGCGGCCCGUCAGCGCCGUUAAAUGCCGUGUGCGGACGGGCGGCGCUGCCUCCGUCGCUCCCCGAGCCGCCCCGAUCCCCUCCCGCGGUACGCGGCCGGCGGGCCGCGCCUGUCACCGUGUCACAUCCUCCCCGCCGGCUGCGGCCGCAACUUCCCCCCCAGCUCCGCCGCUCGGGCCCCCGCAGCGGCAUGGGAUAGAGCGAAGCCUCCUCGGCCGCCGCGCGCUGAUUUCUAAGCGCGAUCGUCACCCCCCGAGCCCCUCUCGUCUCCCAUCUGGAAAAGCCCUCCGUGCCGAGCGGGCGCCCCUCGCCCCGCCGCGCCGCCCCACAGCGCUCCUCAGCGGCCCUCGCGGCGGAGCCCCCGGAGCGGGUGAGUGCGGGGCGGGGGCGGGGGGCGGUGUGCGAGUCGGGCGCUCUCCUUCCCGCGCCGCCCCGCGGGGCUGCUCUCGGGCUGACUUUCCUCCGGGCGCGAAGCCCAAGCGAUAAAAAUCACCGUCGCCGCUAUCGAUCGUUCCGGGGGUAUUUUUAGAAAGGUGAACGCGGUGCGCCUUGUGGUCGCUGGGAUAAAAGGGAGAGGUGGGACGCCCCGGCGGGCGCUCCGCGUUGCGUCCCUGCCUGCCGCGGCUCGGCUGUCGGUGGCACAGCGGGAGCGGGCGCUGAGCUGAGCGCUCCGCACGCCUCGGGGGGCCGGAGGAUACGGGAACGUCCACGGAACUUGUGUGAGAAGAGGGGCCGGCAUCGCUCCGAGGGUCCUGCGCGUGAAGUUGCUUUGCUGUUUGAAGGCGAGAGCUCGUGUGAGCGUACCGGGGAAGCCUGUGUCAGAGUACAGGGGAAGCAAAGCUCGGCUUCGGUCAGCAGCUUUUGGAGUGACAGGUCGGUAAUUUCGUAGAGAAAAUGAAGUUUGAAGCAGAUCUUGGCUUGCUUGUGUCUAUAAAGAGGGGAACAAACAGAAAUCCCCUCUGAGGCAGUAGGAGCGCUGCAUGGGAAGCUGGCCCAAGCUCAGGUGCCAGGCAGCACCCUGCCCAUAGCUCCUACACUUUCUGUCGUGUCUGGUCCUUACAUCUGCAUGCAGCAGGCCUGCUGCUCCUCUGGCACUGCUUCGGCACCAUUAACUUUCAUGGAGAGGGUUAGCAUUAAUGUGAGAAGUAAUCAGGAAACCUAUGUGUUCAGUGAGCCCCUCCAUAGAGCUCCUCGCUCCUAUUCCUCCUCUCCUCAGUCCCAGCUGUGCCAGCUAUACUCAGGCUGCGUGGUACGUCACUGCACAAGUCCUCCCUGUCACACUGGUGUGACCACUUGUGUGCUGCGCACCAACCCGGUGAGUGGAGUGGCAGCCGGGUUGUUGUUGUGGGUUGUUUAUUAUUAGCUUUUUUUCCUUCCCCUGAAGAAAAAAAAAAAGAAAAGAAAAAAAAAGGCUGUAUUGGAUAACUCUUUCUCUUGGGUUGUGAAGAAAAUUUCUGAGGAUUUCGUGUAACGCUGCUCUGUUAACUGACUGUACCAAAAAUAACCAUUGAAGACCUCUGUGCUACCGAUGAAACAAGCGAGUAAGUUUUCUGUGUGCUCAGCUUUCUCUCGUUGCUAUGGAAAGCAAAAAAAAAGAAAGGUGGUUGUUGCAAAAGUUGUUAUCUUGUCCUGAAAUUCCUCUGUGCCUGAGGGAAUCCAUACCUACACGAGGUCUUCAAGCUGUCCGGUUUUGUUCCUGCUUUUUUUCCCCCCCUCUCCAAAAAGCCCCCCAAAUUCACACCACCUCGUUCGAGUGUUUGCUGUCGAAGUCAUUGCCGGCAGGAUCAGGACCUCGGUUGUUUUCCUUCAAGGCGGUUGGUAGUGGCUUGGAUGUGAUGUUACAGGGAGAUAAUAUUAUCUGGAGCGUCCACAGCUCACGUCCACUGUCUCAGUACAAUCUCAGAAGGAAGCUCCACACUACACUGUCUGCAAAGAGAAAAUGUCUAACAAAGCAGAACUGCCUUUUGCUUUUACAUUCUUGUUUAUGUAUCUCUUGAAAGAACAGUUUAUACUCUGAGUGAGGCGCAGUUCUUUCGUGCUGAUUUCGUGUUCUCAGUUCCUUGUAUGACUGUGUUCAUUGCUGAGCUAUUGUGUCACUGAUUGAGAUGUUAUUGUAAUUAACAUUAAUUAUGCAAACUAGAUUGUUUUUCGAGGCUCUCCAACUCUGUAUUGAUACUGUCAACUUGUUUGUCUGUUAAACAAAAAUCCACACAUUUUCACCCUUCUUGGAGGAAAUAGAUCAAUUGGGUCCAAAUGAAUAUACACAAAACCACUGCAAAAUUAAGCUCCUUUAACUAAAACACGUUAAAUCCUGAUAGAGGUGGUGAAUAUACUUGGAUCUGAAAUACCAAGGCAGGCUGAACAGGGGUAGUAGGAAAGGGGACUCAGUGCAGCCAUCUGGGGAGGGUGUUCACCCUGCAACCUCCACUGCGUUCACUCCUAAUAGACAGUACUGGAUUAAUUGGGCCAGAUUCUGCAGCUCCUAAUUGAGCAAAACUCUCUCCAAAGCGUACUGGAGAUGCCUGCUUGGCUGUGGGCUGCUGAAUUGGUUCAAGAAAUAGACGAAAGCAGCAGAGCUUUCUUCAUUAAUUGCUUAGGACGUUUUGGAUUUUAGGCUUGGGUAUCUUCUUUAAUUUAUUUGGAUUUUAAAAGUGAUUGAGUUUUUUUUUUUUUUUUCAGAAAAACCUGCUUUAAAAAAGGGUGACUAAUAUUUACUUAUAAAAUAUUCCCCAUAGCAGAGGUACCACUUUAAAAUACAUUUUCGUGUGUUAAUUAUAGUGAUACUCACAAGAAUCUUUGUCUGAUUCUGAAUCACCCCAUUGAAACCCUCCUGAGCGAAAUCUCUCCCUAGAAAUCAUAAUAGUUGCAAUAUUUAUAUGUUAUGUUGUUGUAUACUCCCAGGGAGAAAAAAAAAGAAUGAGGGGUGGGGAGAAGAGUUUAAAUGAGAACUUGUCAUCACGACAUCAAAUCUGAAAACAUAGGCGGGCUGGCAGAUUAUUCCCUGCCUUAAAAAUGAAGUCUCUCUAAUUUCCCAUUUAAAUAGCAAAAUUGGGUUUGCAGUUUGCUUUGGGUAACGAAAAGGUUUUUUUCUGUUUCUCCUUUUGGUGCAGUGGUCCUCUGGAAAGUUAGAAACAGAGCCCUGCGGCUCAGCGAAGUCAAGGGUGUAUAAUUAUAUGGGAGGGCUCCCUAGCAUCAGUGAAUUAGCAUUAGCAGCUGAGUGAGUUUAAGCAGUAGAGAUGGUAUUCUGGAAAUCAAUAAAAUGCUGGUUUCUCUUUCUUAUUGCAGAUUCCACGCUAGAAGGGAAGGAUGCUGUUUGUUUGUCUGCUUCUCGUGUUGGCUUGCCAAACAGUAGUUGACUUGGAAAGACAGGUUUUUUUUGGGUCAGGGGAUAAGUUGCACAUAUCUAUUUAUUUUAAACAUCUCCUUUAAAUUUUGUUUCAUUGGACGAUCUUCUAGAAAUCACACUAACAUCCUGGCCUGCAAGAACCUUCAAGUGUGUCUGUUUGCCAGCAGAAGCGAGAGUGAAGGUCACUUAUUAUGACAUGCUAGUGUGACAGUGUUUGUUGUAGCUCAAAUACUACACGUUCCUUACAUUCCUGUUUCUGCUUUAAAUUAAAUUAACUCGAGGGUUUGGAGGGUUCUGGUGAAAAGCACUGUAACCCACAGCAGAAAUAAAAGAGAAAUAGCGACCUUAGCUGUUGUCAGAGAUGUGAGUCAGAAGGACUGAUAUUAAUCACUGUAAGAUCUGUAAUGUGCAUUGGCUUUUAUUUCUUUGUCUCAAAGCUUCUCCUGUUUUUAUACUAGGAGGACAAGCAACCCGAUCAUUCAUCACACUGAGCACUGAGAGAAAUGACAAAUCGGCACUCUCACGCUGAGCACUAUGUAACAUGUGUGAUGCAUGUAGUUCUGAUGAUCUGUAUAAAGCAUCUUAAUUGGGAGGAACAGCACUAAUUCAAGGGCUUUAUGGUGCUUUAUUUUUAAUACACUGAGGGCUCUGAGGGAGCCUGGGAAACCUGGGAUAGCAUGAGCAUUGAUGACCAUGGGCUUCAUGGACCUCAGAUGGUUCACACAGUGAGAAUCCUUCUUGUGGCAUGGGAGUGGUGUAUGUAUGGAGCUCAGGCAUGGCGAGGUGUACAAAGCAUGUUCUUGUAUGAACAGAUACCAUUCAAAAUGACAGAUGUAUGAUUCAGGCAACAGUAAAGGUCAGCAACUUGAAAAAUUAGUACUAUGCAUCAUACUGACAUUUCAGAGGGAAUUCUGAUGGGGCUGUGGUUCCAGCAAAUGCAAACUGGUGAGUCCGGCCGUACAGAUAAAAUAGACAGCCUUCUCCUUAUCUCUUCGCUCAUCCGAACCUUUUUACAGACAAACUGGCAAAAUUAUGUUUAUAGCAGAUCUCCCUGUGCUUCAUUGUUCCUGCUCAUCUCUAGUAAAAUAGAGCUGGUGAGGGCCGGCAUGGUGCUCCCAGUGCUCAGCUGUAGUUCAGAAAUGGCAUUCGGCUUUCUAAUGACUAUAAACAGGAAAAGUAUUUGCCUGAGUUGUGUUCUACAGCAUUUCCUAUCUUUGGCAUUUCUGUGGGUGUCCAGUUAAAGGCAGCUGAGGAACACAGAAAUGAAUAAAACAGGGAAGAAGAGGUCUCAUGUAAACCUGAACAGAACUUUCUUGGCUCCUACUAUGUGAAAUAGGGAUUCCAAGGAACACCAAAGGCACUGCUUUUUUGUAACCAUAAAACUGCAGUAGUAACAGUGGCACCAACGGAGUGGCUUCAAGAUAGAGAAGGAAAUACAGUUACUGUGCUGUCCUUAUGAAAGCUGUUAGUAAUGUGGUUGAAGCAUUAGUCCCGAGAACAAAGGUGUUGAGAUCUGGGAUUCUUCCUCUUUAAAAAUUAGCUUUCUAGAUUCAUAUAAUUGCUGCAAGGGAAAAAUGUAACAGGUUGUUGGGUUAUCCAGGUUUGACGUUCUCAUUACAAACAUGCACAUCGUUUUCUGUUGACUUGACAUCAACGCGAAUAUCCGGAGUUAUUCUUCACCUCUGGUUAUCUUUUUUUAGUUUGUUUCAUUUCUUUUAAGUAUCUUUCCCUCAGCUGCUUUCCUUCUUUCUCCUGCUGAAUUCCUUUCCAAGUGUUUCUGAUUCUCUCUGCCUCUUUGUAGCCAUUUUCUUCCAGUUAUUCUUUCUAGUCUUCACUAUCAGAACUGCUGUUUGCAUAUAGCAUCGCAGUAGUGACUGAAUAACACUGCUCUGUGCAGACUAGUAAUAAACAGCAGUGGUCCCUUCCUUAAGAAGCUUGCAGUGGGAAUGUGAAAUGUGGGGGACUGGUAUGCAGCUCCUGUUUUUCAUGGCCCUCAUUUCAUGUUUUGGUGUGGAGGGCGGUUGCACCGCUGUCAUGCAGCGUUAUGUGCAUGUUGAGGUGUGGGACACCGGUGUGCUCUACACUGGGCAAGAAAGAGGUUGGCCACUGCUGACACUUAGUCCAAAAGAAAAACGUGAAGAGAGAGCCUGUUGGAGGUGUGACACGACUUGCUGCAGUUAUCCAAGAGUCGGGGAGAGAGCCAGGAAUAAUACCCAGGCAUCAUCACCUUCAGACACGUGUCCUGUGCUGUACCAAAGCAGGUUUUUUUGCCCUUACAGAGCUUGCUAUUUUUUUUCCCGUAGUUCUGCUUGUAUUUAUUUGGCUGUCUUCUCUGUUGUAGUCCUUUUUUCAUCCCUAAUACAUUAUAUAUAGUAGAUACACCUCCUAGAUAUACCUCCUAGACUGCAUGCCAGGGAUGUUAUUAAGCAUUGCUGGGUUUUCCCUUACCUCGUGCUGAAAUAUCUGGCCCUUGCCAAAGAAGUUGAGGUCAGAAUCAUGGCCCCUUGAGUAUCACACACCAAAAAAUAAUGUAUGUGUUGAAGGUAGCCAAGUACCCUUUAAGAACAAACAAACAAGAUCAGUGAAGUUAAGAAAGGUAAUAUUUGGCUUGUGAUGCAAUACAAGAACUAAGCUAUAAAGCAAGGUAGGUUUCCUGUGAUGUAGAGGUAAAAGGUCCCUAUGAGAGGGACUGUACCCGUUAGUGAAGUUUGUGGUCAGAGCUGAAUCUCUAAGCCUGGUGGUGGUGGUUGUCUGAUAUCAAGAGCCAAAAUGAGAGGUCACAGCUAGAUACACACUGGGAAAGUGCUCCGUUGUGGAGCAUCCUUCCAGCAUUCUGCCAGAACUAGAAGGCUUCCCAUCUGCCUCUGGUUUUUGAAUAUUUUGAUUUAUUUUACCUAUUUUCUGAUAUUUCAGAGCAAAUUGUAGGGAAAAGCAGUUUGUCUUUUCAGACUUGCAAAUUUCUGUGCCUUUCCUACCUUGGAAAGUUCAAAAGAAAAAAAAAUAUAUCUCUUGGGUAUAUUCCACUUCUUUCUCCCCCCGCAUUCAAAAUGACAUAAUCUUCCCUUGUUCAGAAUAAGAACUGUGAUAAUUCAUUUCCUUUGCUGUGAUAAUACAUUGCCCAAAUGUCCUGGUAGCAUAAUUUGAUUGUGUUGCUUGGACAGCUAUCAUAUCACUCCUAUAAAACAGCAGUGUUUGAAAUCUUAUAAUCCAAGAAAUCCAAACUGAAGUGCUUACAACAGUGACUAAUUGCAUGCUAGCGUGUAUUACUGUAUCUUCCUGAGUUAUGCCCCUCAUUGGCCAAGGCAGACUUGCAGAUGAGCUCUUAACAUGUAAUUUAACAAAAGAAUAGUGUUCUGAGUUUAAAUUGCUUGUUGCUUUUUUUCCUUUUUUUUUUUUUUUUCCUUCUUUCCCCAGAUCAGGAUUCAGACCUCCCCAUUUGUUUUAUGGGAAAGCCACAGAGCUGGUUUCUUCCUAGAGCUGUUGCAGUAUGAAUGAGCAAAGCGUGCAGGUCUUCUUAUCUUUUUCUGCUUCUUUUUUUUUUUAAUCUCUUGUUUUUGGUUUUGUUCUGUUUUCAUUCCCUUUUCGUCUCUUCUUCCCCACCUGUACUCCAAUGCUAAGGGGCCUGGAACAACCACCCAGCCUAUUUUACAUCUUUCCAUCUGGGGACUGGGGAGAGGUCUGCAUUGAACUAGAAAUAUUCUCUCUAGCCCCUUUGGCUAUCAUCAGGUCAAAUUUCUUCAACCAGAGGAAAAAAUCCUGCUUGAACACUUUUUCUUUGCUUUAAUGAGGUAUUAGGGGAAAGUAUUUUGUUUAUGAAGAGGAAGUAGUAUAGGUGAAUGUACCUUUAGGAAAGGGUCACCACCGCAGGAGUGCUGUUAAGAAAAGCUGCCAGAUCUGUCACCAGAGGCUCCUGUGAAAUGAAGAUGUUUCUAUACCCUGCGUGUGCGUGUGUAUUUUUGAUGGUUAUGCUGGAUUUCUGCCAUGCCACAGUACUGAUUAGAAUAAUUUAUAAUAAAAAGGCGGUAUGGAUUUCAGGAAUAGAUAUUAUGAUAGGGGAAGGGGGGAAUUGGAGGCAGGGAGGCCAAAUCUGAUAUAGAUAGAUAGAUUUUUUUUUUUUUCCUGUUCAGUGAACGUACCCUAAAACAUAGAUUUCAUUUUUGCUUUCUGUAGGAAGUUAGUACUGUCCUCAGGUAUGCUGCCAGAGAUGACUGCUAUGUGCUUGGCUAAAUACACAUUGCGUGCUUAUGCCUUACUGUUUACUUUGAGUAGGACUCAGGAUAUUCCAGGCACUUCCCAGAUGCAGAUGGAUAAUCUCUACUUCCAGUAUUCCACAAGUCAGAGGCAGGCCAGAAGAAGGUACAUAGGUGGGAAUUCUCAGAUUGCUGAGAUACAGAACAAGAUUGAAAGGAGCCAGGGCCCUUGAGAGGAAUAUGAGUGAGUGGCAAAUAUGUGCAGAUGGAGUGAGAAGGAUACAUUCAAGGGGCUCCAUGAAAGAAGUGGGCACCAUGCAACUGAGUGUUCUCACUGCUGAGGUUUCAGUCCAGUCUGCCUUUAUCAGCCAGCUAGGCCUAGUAAAUUAGUGCAUUUUGCUCCCUGGUGUGUCUGGAAAGAAAAGAGAUCCUUUGCUUUGCUUCUGCAUCACAAGUCAAUCCCUGAUCAGUUCAGAGCUUCUGACAUCUGAUCCGUCCCUUGGACGCUUUCUCCUGCAUUUGUCAACAGAUGAUAUGAUGGAGUGGAGUUCCUUGGUCAUCUUCUGCAUGGAGAAAUGCUGUGAAAAUGAGCAAGCAGUGGGUUGAGGUAUGUGAGGUAAAUGUACAAAGUGAGACUAGACAAGGCCAGCAAGAAGUCUUUUGGGGGUUUUGUGCAUGUAUUCUUUUGGGCAGGAAGUGUUUGUUAUCCGAAAUUCAGUUUUUGCUGCUGUUAAGGCCCCUGAACAUGUCUGCUACACAAAACAGAAAACAAAAAGAAAAUGUUUUCUCUUCAGUUAUUCUGGCAUUGCUUAUGUGAUCGUAAAUCGUUCCUACUCCAUCUGGAAAGAUGGGAUGCAGAGCUCUUUUCUGAGGAGGUAUCUAAUGCAAAACCUGGUAGCAGCUAGCAAUUGGCAUGACAAAAGGGUUACAGCUAGUGGCUGGCACUCUUCCCAUCCAUCUUGCCACUGGAAACAUAAUGCUUUGCAGUGUGCUUGCUUGUUCUUCAGGCGCUGCUGUGCGAAGCCGGUCCCCGGGAUGUGUAACGGAGCAGUUGCAUGUCGUCUGCUUUUGUUUGUGGUGCCUCCUUAGUGGCAUGAGAAUGGGAAGUGGGACUGAAUGCAGGGGACUGUUUUUCUUCAGUAGAGUGCAACGUGAAGUGGAUGAGAACAGUGGGGUACUUGUGGAGUGUCCUCUGGUGUGGGAAGAUGAGCAGCAAGGUGUCUAGCACAGGCAGUAAAGCAUCAAGUGUGGCAGGAGAGCUUGUUUUGUUUCUAACCUUGUAUGCCUUGUGAAGGACAAGGCAGAACUUAGAAGUAUGGAGUGCACUUUUUUUUUUUUUUUUUUUUUUUUGAUUUUAUAAAUAUUGUAGAUUUUGUUCAUGUAAGCUGACUGCACUGUGUAUAUUCUGUCCUCCACUUGAUUUGCAAGAAGACCAAGGCCCUGGCUCAAUUAACUUAGUUUCAAGUGUUCCUGUGAUGCCAAGAUUAUAUCACCCACUUUUUUGUAGAUAGGUUUAUAACAUGGUGUCAGAAUAAGCAGUAGAAAGGAGAUCUCCUAAAUUGUUAUCUUUUUCUGCUGCUGAGUUUAGACAGGAACUGUGCUCAUCUUCCAGUAGUGCCCAGCUCUGAUGUGCCUUUCAAACCUUCACAUGGAAGCUGGAUGUCUUCUUGCUGAAGCUCCUUGAGGCCCUCCUGAAAUAAAUCAGAUGCAUUUCCAUGGGAUUGGAUAUGUAUUCAUGUCUUCCUUCUUUUGAAGGAAGGUUGGAGAUGAGAUAGAAGAGAGUCCAGGAUACUCUCUCCCUUGGGGCCUCGAGUGCUUUGAAUGAGUUGCUGUUUGGACCAGUUUGCAGUGCUGAGGUUGGUGCCUUUUUCUCCCUGGGAGCUGUAUGUACAGGAGGAGCCCUUCUGUGCACAUUCCCUGCUCUGCAUUUUAGGCAGUGUUUGCUCCUCCUUUCUGCAUGAUGAACCCGUGUCUCUUCUUAAUACCUCCUUUCUGCUUCUUUGUGGUGGGUGGAUAUAAGGCACAGCCCUGCUCCUGGUGUCUCUUAGCUGACUCUAGACAGUGACACACUGAAGUCAGUGUCUGUCCUGCUGAAGAGGGACUUCAUCUGUCUGCUUCCUCCCAAAGGACUUCAGGUAGAACGCUGUGGAGUUGGGGUGUGGAAUGGUGUCCUGGAAAUCCCAGCCUUCUAGAAGGAAGCACUGCUGCACACUAGCACUGUUUUGUACUUGGUAUCUUUGGAGGGCUUUUCUCUUACUGCGUCCCAAGCAUCCGCUUUUAUCUUUCCCCUGAUACAUUAUAUCCCACUGAAGACCCUUCAGGCAGAGAUACUUUGUUCCUUUCUUUAGCUUCGUGAUUGCUGUUUAUGCUAGAGUGUAAUAAACACAGUUAGCAUUUCUGGCUUGUUUCAGGGUGGGUACUUGAGUGUGAAAAAGAUUUGGAUACAUUAACUCUGUCUUUCUUACCUCUGUCUGAGAUAGUAUCUGCUUAGGACUUUUCCUGAUACAUGAGGGCUAUGGAAAGGCAAUUGCACUCCCUCUGCUCUUGAAAACAUUACAGUAGCUUUGGUAGAGUUGGACAAACAGUAUGGGGGUAAUAAGGAUAAGAGGGUAAACUACAUUGUCUUUCUUUAAAGACUGGCUUCCAGAUCAUGCAGAGCAGAGUCAGAAGGUAAAGGCUGCUCUCAUGGCGCACUUCACCUGCAGUGUGUGUCCAGUUGCAGCAUGCUGAAUGUAUGCAGAUCUGGUGCUGGGCUCAAAAGCUGGGGAUUCCCAAGGCAAAAGAACUGGGUUUGCCUGUGUCCUUGCUCUCAGUAUGCUGAGCAAGUGCAUUUUUCCUCUGUAAUGUGCUCAGUGUCUUCCAGCCUGAGUCAGCUGUGUGUACUGCCACUUGCUUGAGAGACUGAAAAGCAGAAUCUCAUGGCCUGAAUUCCUCCUUAGGCUCUGUGCUUGAAGGCCAGGAGUCCGCUGGAGGGAAAUAAAAGAUACAGGGACGUGCAUGCAAUUUAGAGUGUGUAAUCUGGCUCCUCCUCUCCUGUGAUGUCAGCAUGCUAUAAGCAUGUUGGAAGCUAUUUGUUUGUUUGCUUGCUUGCUUUUUUGCUUUUUUUGGGUUUGUUUGUUUGUUUUCCUCCUUCCUUUAAAGUUUGGGACUUAUGUUGUAAUCUGGCAGAACUGGGUAAUGCUUUGUUACCUUUCAGCAGCAGUUGCAUCAGGUGUUGAUGCUUGAGCUCUGAAGGUGCUUUGCCGUGUUCCUAAUGCACUUGUCUGUGGAGGAACUGAGCCUUUGGGGGCUUGUUUAUGGACAUUAAGAGUCUGAUUUCUCUCUAUGUGUGCCCUGGUAAUCUCUGAUUACCAUCCUCUCCCCAUUUGGAAGAACUUGGGCUUGAUGAUAAUGAGAGAUGCAUCAGCUCAAGUAAUUUGUUUGAAGAUAUUAAGCUUUGUGCAUACUGAAGAAUGUUAUAUCCAAAGCUUUUGAGGAGUUCUGCCCAUGAUGCAGUGCCACUUAUGGAAUUUGUUUCAUCUAUAGGGCCAGAUUAAAUGGAGCUAUUAAAUGUAUGUUGCCGUUCCUUGCACAUCAAAAAGUGAAGUUCAGUGUCUGAGUUAUCAUGGGGCACUGCAAUGAGAUAAGGACUCAUCAUAGCGUUGCAAUAAAUAGCAAUGUCAUUAAAAGAAAAAAGGCUUUUUUUUUUUUUUUUUUUUGUCUAUAAAUGUAAUUGGAAAAGCCAGAAAUCUUGAGUGGAAAUUUUUAGUAUGCUGAGCAGAUUUCUGUGUGCAGGGGGUAUCUGAGACUUUGAUUGCUGCAUGAGCCACGUAGCUGUGGGAUAUGAUACCAGGUAAGCAAUGAUACCUGAUUUCUAGUCCUGGAAGGGAAAUGAGUGCCUUAUUAUUGGACAGCUUUAUGAGGAGUGGCACUCUUCAUUAGAAGGCAGCAGUGGACAGUGGAGCUGUAUUUGGCAGAUGUUGACUUAAAGCUGUGCAAGAAGGAUUUUUUGAUCAUUAGCCUUAAACUGAUUAUUUCCUACUUGUUUCAGGACUCAUUGUUUAUUUAACAACCAACCAAACAAAAAACCUCUGCUUUUUCUACCUCUACGUGAAAAGUGUCAGCUCAGUAAGCAGAUGUCGUUCUAUGAGUAAGGUGAAGCAAUAAUGCAAGAGGAGCAGUGAGGGGGAAAAACAGCUUCCUGUUCUGUGGUGUUUCUGAUUUGUUGUUUUUCUUCUUCUUAAUUACAUGAAGUUGGAGGAAUGAGCUGGUAGGAUAUGAGUAUUGCCAGCUGGUGAAUAAGAGCUGUGGUCAUGGGUGUCAUGCAAGCAUGAAACUGUGGAGGACUGGGAUGUGUUGGAAGGAAAAACAAGAACAAUUCAGGCCAGCACAUGGCUUUCUCAGAUAGAAUGCAAAUGGAGGGAAUGUCUACAAAGCCAGUGCCCAAAGCUGGGAUUCUGUUCCUUGCUCCAGUUAAACCAACACACAAACCAGUUCACUUGAUGUCCCCAUUACUUUGGACUGCUUACCUUUCCAGUUUUUCUAGCUUGUGAUUUGGGCAGAAUGAGCCAGUAGGGAAAAUGAUGAUCUAGAACUGGCCUGACUCGUCUCUGUCUCUUCCCAGAAAGCUCAGUUUCUUCUCUACCACCAAAACAGUGACCGGCUCUACUACUAUUGUUCAGAACACCUGAGACUCCACAGUGAAAUCAUCUGCCACUGCUUAGGAAAGGAAAAGCUUUCAAGCCUUUGCCAGCUCCUUCUGUGCUUCUCUACUCACUAUGGCUUUUCUACACCAUACACAUGGUGUAGCAGCUGCGGCUUGAAAUUCACUGGGGCUUUUCCCUCGCCCUGCGGUAUCUAACUGUAUCCAGCCCUGGCACCUUUACAAGCAUAGACAGCAGAGGCUGUGCGUGAGGCCAGCAUCGUGUGUGUGCCAAAUACACUGACGACAGCCAUGCUCUUGCUGUGCCUUCUUCUGAGGUGACCACAGAGCACAAAGUAGACUGGCCCGUUGGAAGCCGUGCUGCUCUCUUCUGGCUUGAGGCCUCGAUGCCUGCGAUAAUCUUGAGUAGAUACCAGGGAGUAGUGGGAAGAAAGCUUUUCCUUCUUGACAGAGUACCAAACACCUGAGGGAUUCCUGGGACAAGUUGAAUGGAGUUUUCUUACCCUAUGUGUUUGAGAGGGGGGUGUGGUACCAGGAGACUGGAUACUCAGUGCAGCAUUUAAUUUGAUUUUAUAACUCCCCUAUGGUGAGCUUGUGACAUGUGUUUCUGACCUAACCAAGAGCCACUGCAGGUGCAAAGCCCCUUCGUGUCCUUCCCUGUUUCUGGAAGUCCUGACAGGCUUCUGGCUAAACAGUCAACAAGUCCACAGGGUCACAUUGAUGUUUUGAUGCCUGUGGAAAGAAGUUGCCAGUGGGAGUCUUUUUCUGGCUUAUGUUGCUGACUGUCAAAAAACAAACAAAUGAGCAAAACCUAAACUUUCUUGAACUGAAAAGCCACCGAGGCUGUGUACAGGCUGGAGGGUGCAACAUGGCAGUGGGCUUUCCCUCAUGCUUUCAAAAGAGAUUUCCCUGACAUCAAGGUAGACUCCAGUCCUUCAUCAGAGCUGGCUGAAAUCAGAGGUCCAUAGCUGAGAUUUAAGGAUUGCCUUCUCUGGUUCUCUUCACAACCAGUUUUUCCUUCUCCACUUGGGGCAUUAGUAUAGACUUUGUGCUGUGUUCUCACCUAUUGGUAAGGGCCCCGUGCUUUUGUAUGCUGACUGCGUAUCGGUAGAUACAGCUGGUAUGCUCACUCUCCAAAAGGGUUUCUUUUGUCUUACUGGUAUUGCCAGAAGCCAUUGUCAAGUAUGUUCUGUCAGACUAAAUGAAAAGAAACCUCUGAGUCUCAAGAACUUGUGAAGAAGCCUGAGUAGGGAAAUAGUAUCUCUGGCAGCCUCUAGGCCCUCUGACACAAAGAUCACAGGAAUCCAUGUCUUCCAAGACUCUGGGGAACAGGGGCUGGAUUUCUUUUCUUGCACUGAAGUUUGCCUACCUCUGACAAGACGAAUAUUUUUUCAAAGUAAAAAAAUGCAAGUUGGCUUCAUUGGAAUAAGACAAAAAAGGAUAUGCUGAAAACCUGUAACCAAAUCGGCUUGAGCUUAUGAUUACUCUUGCAGUAAUUGGCUCUGAGCUGCUGUAACAUCCACAUGUUGUACUGAAGUGUUUUUUGCUUGCUCCUAGAUUUCUUUUCAGUUUUGUGCGUGCACAAAGAGGAGGGAAUAGCACCAGAUGACGAGGCAGGAAACACUCAUGCAUUUCAGUGACUGAUGUUCAGUGCCUAGAGUUGGGAGUAAGCCACAUCUUAGACCAGGGGAAAAAAAAAAAGAGAUGAAGCUGCUGAAGUAGUUUAGUGUGUGGAAUGGAGCCUGGCAGGCGAGAGGCUGGCUGCAGCACUGCACGUCUUCCUGGACCAAGUGAGCAAUGCUGAGCUGGGGAGCUGAAGAGGCUGAAAUCCACUGUUGGUUCUGAGUCUGACAGAUUUGGUAACAGAGUUUUACCAGAGGAUCCAGUGGGAGAAGUGGAGAGGACUGAAAAGUCUCAGAAGACAUUCAGAAUGCUGCAUGUACUCAUGUGAGGAAUACUGCUUGGGAAGAGGAUAUUCCUCCAUUAGAAGGAUCAGGAGAUCAGCUGAGACCAUUUGAUACGGUGUUACAUAGAAGUGUAAAACUCAGUCAUGAGGUUUUCAUUUUUGAAUAGUUAGCAAACCUGGCAGUGGUGAUAUAAGCAGUUAGAAUUGUGAUUAACUGUGGUGCUUUUAAUUUUGUGGCUGAACCAAAAAUGGGGGUUGGCUUUAACUGAAACAUGAAAAAUCACAGUUUGCUGAACGUAGCAUGGGGUGGAUUCACCUGCAGAGGGAAAGGGAGUGCUUGUUCUCUGCUGCUCACUGGCAGCUAGAAUCUCUCCUAUGUGAUGGAGGUGUAAUUACAACUGUUGAGCUCCCGUAUUCAAAGCAGUGCUGAGCAUACUCUUGAAACAAUUAUUCAGACCAAAAACUUCCUGGCAUCUAUAACAGAUAAAACUGGAAGUCAUUCAGGGUGAGAAAUAGAGCUGUGUAAGUGCGGAGUGAGUGAAAACGAUUCCCUAAUGAAGAAGCAGUAAAAGAGCUAAAGAGCACAGCUAAACAAAGGUCAUACUGUGUAGACAGAAUGUAGAUAGAGGCUAAGCUUACUUAAAAUAUAUAGAGGCCAGUGCAGUAUAAAAUGAAGGUGGGCCAGCCCAUGGAGUAUUAUCAUGCAUAGAUAAUAGAUGCAUGCAUAUAUAGAGAGAGAAAUAAAUAAAAUGGAUGUAAGUAUGCAGUGAUACAUUCUGAAAACCUGUCAUCAGAACAAAUUGCAAAGCACAGAAUGCACCCAGGUUCAAAAAGCUGUAGCUGGAAAACAGAAUACCAAGAUCACCAUAGAAAUGGUGUUCCUUAGGAGUCGCUUUGUUUACAGCAACUCUUUAAAGCUCUGCAACACGCUGGCAAGCAAAUUCACAGAAAGUGAAUUUCUAACUAGGUGUUCAGGCUAGGUGCAGUGAGAUUUCCAGCACACGGAUGCAGAAAGGAUUGGUGCCAGCCUUACCCAAGCAAAGGCUAGUCCCCCUCAGAUUCUCUUGCUGGGCCCAAGGUCAGCCCAUAUGGCAAAGCUCAUGUUGGUGUGUCUGUGUGAAGCUGCGUAGUACAGCUUUGGUGUGGAGCAAAGUGUCAAGAGCCUGUUUGGAAAUACUCUGCUAAUGCAGUUUUACAGAUGUAUUCUUUAAAAUCCAUGCUCAGUGCAUACAAGGAGGUUUAAGGAAGUUAUACAAGAUGGUGUGCGAGGCUUGCAUCAGCAGCUGUGAGUAUGAUCUGUACUGUGUCCCCCUUGUCCCCGAGACAUGAACCAAAUGUGAAAGCAUUAAAAAGAAGUGUUGCUGAAUCAAUGAAGCUGUCAACCAAAUGAUGAGGAUGUAGCUGCUGCUGUGAAGAAAUAAAUGCUAUUUUGAAUAAUAGUCUUUAUACAGAAGGUCUAAAUGAGGCCACCUUGAGAACUCUUUACCACAGUGUGGUUACAUGAAGAAGGUACAGAGAUGAGAAGACUUCCAAAAGAGGAAAUCAUGUCUAGACUUCAAAAUGCCAAUUCUCAAUUUUGGUAGUUAUAUCCUGUCUGGUAUCUUUGUGCCAAUAUGGAGGAGAAAUAAUUGACUGAAAGAGAGAAACAGCCAGUAGCAUAAGGAGAUGCCAUGCAUCAUUUCACAGUACGAGAUCUCAAAUAUUCAUAUGGAAAAUUAUCACCAACCCUUAAAAAUUGUUGCAGAUUAGGAAGCUGUUAUAUAUUUUAUUGUCUGAUAAAGUAUCAAUUUUGUACCACUUUCUGCAGGAAUGGGAAGCCUUGUGAAAGCAGUCUGAAAGGUCUUCACUAACUUGCAUGCUGCAGCUGAUGUGCUUCAGCACUUUGUUAAGGAUUAAAUGUUUUUGCUUUUUCCAUGUUUUAGCUAUACCGGGCUCUGGGAUGCAUUUGCUGGUUCCCAGCUUUGUUUUUUUUUUUUUUCCCCAGAUAUCUUGAAGAGCUUAAAUAUAGCUAGAGCAUUGGACCCAAGGAGAAGAGAAGUUAAAUUCACUAACUUCACUAGUUCAAACCAAAUUUGCCCAGUUUUGCAUAUUUUGUGCAUGCUGUGGGGGAAGGGAGGUCUCAAACUCAGUAGUUCCCUAAACAAGAAGGAAAGCAAUCAUUGUUUGUGGUUAACUUACAGAGCAGCAUUAAUGGUCUCUAGAACCUCGUCAUACCGUUGGCUCAAUAGGAACUUGAGAAAGAGGAGUUCUGUGAGGAGAUGGGAUGAGGUGGAGUUACAGUUGUCAGGGGAACCAGUUGGUGUGCAUAUGAAGAUGCUUUUGUGAUGCACUCGUGGGAAGAAGGCAGAGGAGUGUGUACUUUGGUGACGAGGGGGUGAAAUGCCCAAGUGGAACCAAAAGUCUUCCGUGCACCAACUUCUUCACUCAUGUGAUGGUGAUCUGUGUGUGGAUCUGAAUACUAGAAGCUUCACUUGAAGUGCAAAUAAUUGAAUUCUGUGUUCCUCAAAUUCAAACAUGUAGUCCUUUUUUCCCAGCAGAAUUGGCUGGGUAAUUUGAAUCCAAAUGCAUCUUUACACUUGUUGAGACUAUUAUUUGUAAUGGAUGAAAGUUGUGCUUGAAAAUGGAACUCAAUACUGUCUCGCACCUUCUGUCUCUUCCCAUCUUUGCACACUUACUCACAAUCAGUUUGUCCCCUUACAGGGAAUGACAUAGAAGUACAAGUGUUAUUAAAGAAAAAGUCAGACCUCAUUGGAUUUAUUUUUUCCUUCAUGGGUUGAUAAUAUACUUUAGCAUAUUUCCAUGCAGCAAACUUGAGGUGUUUUACCUAACACUGACCUGAGGCUGAGUCUGAGAAGGGGAAGGUAACGUGGUUACUUUGAAAGCUUAUAGAGAGUAAAACGUAGCUAUUUCAUCUAUUGUGUCAAGUGUUCCAAUUUUCACCUCAGCCCUUUAAUUCACAGGUAUUUUUCUAAUUCUGUAAGCUUUUUUUUUUUUUAAGGGAUUUUAUUGAUAUCCCAAUCAUUCUUUUACUCUAUUGUGUUUUCCUGCCAUUUUUCUCUACACAGUGGUGAUUUUUACAAAGCAGAGAGUACUUUCUUUUUGCUUUGCUGUUUCAUGGAGGCAAGUGUUCCUUUUUUCUUGCUGUUUUACUUCUGGUAUCAGAGUGGAAAAUAAAAGUAAGUAUCCUGUCUCACAUCUGCAUGUGCCCACAAAUAGACACACGUACUCAAUCUCCCACAUGUGCACAUGCAGGCAGGCACACAAGGAGUUUGUUCUUGCUUGAGUACAGCCAAAAGAGGCCGGACACUGCUGUCUUCAGCUCAGUGGAAAUUGGCACCAGCCCACCUCCAGCAAACAACGGCCUGACGUCAGCUCACGCAGUGGUGAUAGCAGUAUAACUUGAGAGAUUUUUCGGCUGGCCAGGCUGUUGAAAGGCUAUCAGUGGGUUUGAUAAUCUCUGGCUGCACUUGAGAGGAAUCACUGCAAAGGUGGGGGCAAGAAUGGCUGGUUAAUGACAGAAAUAAUAGAGCAAUUCCUGAUAACUUUGCAGAAGUGGAGAGGUGGUUUUUAGGGCUCACGCUGAAGGAUAUUUGGAUUCCCAUCUUGGCAGCUGCAGUCAUUCUCCCCGUUGUUAUUUCCAGGUUCUGAAAUCCGGGCUACUUGAUAGCAUUCACGUUAGCACCGUAUUGGAAGUUGGAGAACACUUAAAGUGCUGUAUAACAGUCAAUCAAGCAGAUGAUGAAAUUUGACUUUUCUAUUGUGCUGAAUAAAGCACUUUCAUCAUGAUUUUCAUUCCUAAUGUUUGCUUUAUACGGUGUAGAUACAGCUCAAAGAACAGCCAGGUGUGAUACCAAGCUUUUCACUUGGUUCUGUAUAUUCCAUUUAUAUUACUGGGAUAUAAGCACAUAAACUGUUGAUGCCCCAAAGCUUGUCCACAACACCCAGGAAAUGUUUACUUGAACGGUGUUUCUUUAUUCUUCAUUAUCAAAUUAGGCUGGAAUAAAGGCACCCUUUGGUGGUGCUGGGUUCAGAGAACAUCUCUAGGAAAGUAGCAGUUUUCCUGUAGUGCUCCAACUGUGUUGAUGGCAAAGUUAGCAAAGCUUCCAUGGCAUUUCUGAAGCAGGGUGGCUGUGACUUAAAUUUAAUAACAGAUGGUUCUCCUCGUAACCCGACAGUUGAAAGAGACUUCUCUAUUGUUCAGCACUCCCACUGAAAACACGUUUCCAUUAUGAACUUACAGUAUUCCUAUGCCAAAACCAACAGUUAAAAAUGAAUGGUUUGCUCUGGUAACAGGACAAAACAAACACGAAAAUCACUGUGUUGUGUGACAGAAAAUUGGAGUAUUACAGUGAUGAAGUUGAUAACCCUACCAGAACAACUACUUGAUGGGUUAUUCUUGAAUUAAUGACACUUCUAAGCAAAUAUUUCAAAAAUAUAAAGAACAGCGCAUCAGAUUCUGCUUUGCUUCUUGUAGUGCUGCAAAGAUGGCAGUAAGUUCAUGUUCCAUCCAGGCCCUGUCGUGAGAGGUUUACAGACUUUGUGAAAUCUUGGAAGGGAAUGUGAAUAGCUGCCAAUAUUAACACUUGCUAGUGUACAAACUUUAUACUUGCUUUCAGGGUGUAUUUAAACUGGGUUAAUAGCAGAAGGUCUCAAAGUAAGGAGGGACAAGAGCAAGGAGAGGAAAGAAAAAUGCAUUUUUUCCAGUCUGGUGUUUGUCCCAUUAAUAGCUUUUGACCAAAUGUGAUCAUUUUCAAUUUCUGUGGAACUAGGCAAAAAGAUAGGGAUUUAUGUGGGCCCUUAAUUCUCAGCAAACUCACAGAGAGCUGAAGCAAGCAUGGAACAGAUCUGCACAUCUCGCCAGAAGAGAGUGAUCCAAGUAGGACUGCUGAUCUUGCAGAAGGGAAGGAAAGGGUGAAUAGCAGCACUUUCAAAACCAGGAAGGUCCUGAUGUGCAGUGAGUCCGACUGUCCUGGAAGUCUGGUGUGGCUGCUUGACAUCCUGCUCCCAGAGGGGCUGGCAUGUGGCAGGGCCUGGCCAUUUGUCACUUCUGAGAAAAGCCCACAGCAGUUGUAGAGGACACCAGCAGCCAGCCUUCAGCCAGCUGGUGCUUGAGAGCUUGCAAAGCAUGAGGAUUGCCCCAUGCAAGCCUCACCUUGUCAGCGUGCAGGAAAAAGGCAGAGCUCCUGGAUUGCUCCUGCCAGGCAAUGCCAGGUCAUUCAGUAGCAUUAUGUGUUGUGUGAGGCUUGUCACAACCCCCAGCAGAACUUCCCCUUAUAAAAACUAUACAGGCAGCUAGCAAAGACAGUUAAUCUCUAAGCUGCAGCCUCACUGGAGAUCUGUUGUGCCAUGAGGGGGAGGAGACAUGCAGUAGGAAAAUUACGGUAGUGUUUUUCUGUUCUGUUUUGUUUUUUUUUUCUUCUCCAUCCUGUACUGUCUCUCAUCUUGUCCACCCAGCCUGCUGCUGCUCAAAGAAGGAGAUGAGCUGCUGGGAAAGGACUGUGUGUUUUGCCUCCUCCUCCCAGUGGGUGACUUGCAUUUGUUGCCCAUCUUAAGAGUUAGCCAGAGCUGCUCAUGCUAACCUUCUCCUAAACCACAGGUCAGAGAGGCACUGGAGCAUGUUUUCUCUUGCUAGGAACCUACUGAAUGGCCUUUUGUGUAGUCAGCCCUCCUCUGCUCUGUUCUGCAUGUAAUAAAGCUUCCUGGGUGUCUGUGGAGGCUAUGGUUCACUUUGUGUUGGGCGGUGUUUUAAAUCUAGCUUUAAUGUGGCCGGAGAUGCAAUAAUAUGGAAUCUUGACUGGCUAAAAAUCAAAAGCUAAAAAAAAAGAAAAAAAAAAAAGAAGAAAAAAGCUUUAGUUUUAUGGAGAUAAGUUGAUCUGUUAUCAAGUUGUAAUUUUGGUACAGUUCAAUCAUGAGUCUUAAAAAGAAUUAUCCUUCCUCAAGGAUUCAGAAAAAUCCUGUGGUCAGCCCAUUCGAAGCGAUGUGGUAAGGCUACUUAAGAACUGAUGCUGGAUACUUCUUUUUGCACACUCAUUAUUUUUGCAUCCAUGCUCAUUGAUAUUUUCAAGAUUUCUAUGAAACGAAACCAAAGGAGUGAAACUGAAGUUCUCAUUUAAUCAUUUGGCUCAAGUACCCACCAAAAAGCCACUUCAGAUCCUGUCUGAAUUUUGGUAUAGUUGCAGUAUGUGGUAACACUGCAUGCUCCCACCAUCGCAUCCUUCUAAAAGAGUUACAACUUUACUGAACAGUAAAGCACCAUCGUAAGGAUGGUCUCUUCCAUGCUUGAUAGCAGUGUUAGAUGGGAGCAGAGUGCUCAAGCAUCUCUGGGCAAGCCUGAAUGCUGGAGGGAGCGUUUCUUAACUGGUGUUUGCCUUGGGAGCUUUGCUGCUUUAGAAGGUAAGCGCUGCUCCUUGGCCUGUUCUGUGUCUGUUAGAGCGUGAACAUUACCAAGAUGAAUGAGGUGGAGGACAGUCCCCAGUAGCUGCUGGGGACUUCUUGUUCGUUCUAAGAUGCUCCUGCAAAGUGAAGGAGCAGAAUAACAAUGCAGCAUCUCUGAUGGGCUCCAUCCAAACUCAAAAACCCAAGCGCACUCCCCAGGUCUGGUUUCUCACCUUGGCUGGGUCCUCACAGCUUUCGGCACAAAGGUGGGUGCCCAGCUGGAGGAAAUCAGCAAGAGCAAAGAAGGAAGGAAGCCACAGUGCUCCCAUCUGUUUCACAGUAUAGAGAUAACUACCAUAGCCUACUCCUUCCUUGGUUUUAUUAUUAUUAUUCCUCCCCAGUGGGCACAGUGCUUUAUGGAGCAUGUGAUGCCUUUGCAUCUGCUCCCUUUCUCAUGUCUCACUCAACAGAGGACUUGCUCUGAAGUUCUCUGUAGUCUUCUUCUCAGCCUGGAAAGGCUCUUCUUGUUUCACCCUUUCAAAGAUAUCAUCAAGCACAGGAAAUUUACUAUCUUUGUUGGCAGUGCCAUGAAAACUCAACAGAGAGGGAGAAGUCAAGAGAACCAAAGCAGGGACUGGGUAAACUCAUGGAAGUGGGCUCUCAUGGUCCUGUUCAAAGCAAAGUGGAGAUCUGGGAGCUGUUUUGACAAUCUGGUGAGAAAUGCAAAGCCCUCUGUUCAAUUGCAUGGUAGAACUGCUACUUGCUGAGGCUCCCUGGCUUUGCCCUUACGAAUACCUUAUUUUUUUUAUACCUGAUUAAAACAGUGUGGUUAAAAGUGAACAAAGAAAUUUUUUUAACUGACGAGUGUGUUUCAACGCUAAAAAACUGACUCAACUUUCUCAGCAAUACUAUAGCAUGUUGAGCUAAAGUGGCUGAAAACCUCCUUUAAUUACGCUGAAUUUAUUUCUUUUUGGUAGCAGUAACACUCGAGCAGUGGCACGGCAACAAAGACUGCUUUGAACGAGCAGUUCUGAGGGGUGCCAUCCCGCUCCCUUCCCCCAGCCCCAUCUCCCAGUUCCAGAUGACGAAAACAAGUUGCUGCCUCUUCAAGAUUUUUCUUGUCCUUUCUGCUGGUGACAGGAGUAAGUGUUAGUAACAUCUGCUGGCCCGGGCUUGCUUCCUCCAGCAGCACUGGUCUCUGGCAGGGCUGCACAGAGCCAGGAGCCACAGGCAUGCUGUGCCAAGCACCAGUGUGGCUUGGCCAACCAAGGCUUCCAGCAGCACGGCGGCUGCAAUAGCAGCAGCACGGCUCAAUGUGACUGGCAGGGCUCUGCUUAUCUCCUGGCACUUUCUUAGGCCCUAACUCUCAAACGGCAGGGCUGGUGGUUUUGGUUUUUUUACUUCUCGUUGGUGUUUUCUUUUUUCUCUUUUUGAAUAAUGAAUGUUAUUUUAAACAAAACAGCCUGGGGGGAUAAGCAGCUCAACAUGUGGAUCUGAAAACAUUUUCUAUUAGCUUUAGCUUAGAAAGUUACUAUAAGUGACAGAUGUUACAGAGAGCACUUUUCUUUUGCAGUCUAACUCCUCUCUGUGUUUCAGCAGUGUUUUGUGAGUCACUAGUGAUUUCUUUCUUUACCCUAUCAGGCUUCCUUGAUGGUGACAGUAACUGGGAAGGAAAGUAUAUCCCUAUACAUUUUAAGAGGGAUGUAGCAUCUGUAAAACCACAAGAAAAUGAGGAGUCUGUGAAAGCUGAUGCAGGCCAUGCUUUAUUUAUUCUGCACUUGUCUGCUCCAGAAUUGGGUAGACUUCCCUUUGGGUGGAAGGAACAAAAUUCACUGUGUUUUGCUUUGCUUUUUUAGAGUAAGGCGUAAGUCUCUUAGCUGCCUCUUAAGACCGGUUGGUUGGUUACGUUUUACGGACUCACAGAAUGGCCUGGCUUGAAAAGGACCUCAAAGAUCAUCUCGUUUCAACCCCCCUGCUAUGUGCAGGGUCGCCACCCACCAGACCAGGCUGCCCAGAGCCACAUCCAGAUGAAAAAAUAAAAACAGAAAACCAACAAACUGAAGGGAGUUGUGGAGAUUCUGUUAAGUCACACAUGAAGUCGAUGUAAAAACUUGUGAGCAUCUAAGGGUAAAAUGUAUUUUGGACUUGUAGUAGUGAUCUUUGUGCUUGCUCUCAGGUUCUGUAGUGCCUGUGAUAUACAGAGGAAGAACAGGCAGCAAUGCUGUGCUGCAGAUUCAAUUCUGGGGGGAGAUGGGGAGAGUUCCUUUUCUUUUGUGUGUGAUUUCCUGAUGUGAGAACUUUUAAAGACUCUUGUAAUAGCUUGUCUGGAGAUUUUCUACUGUCUGCAACAAGACACAGCCUGAAAUUAUACUAUCCCGUAUUUAACUCAAAUCAGCCCUAUACAAUAAUGCAGUUGUUUCUUCCUUCUAAAUAUGCAGUGCGUGCAGGGAUGAUUCAGGAGUCUGCGUGUGGCUGCAGCAGAAAAGGACUUUCAUGGCUUGCUUUUGCUUUCUCUUCCUGUCCCCUCCAUUUUCACAUGUGGCUGUUAGGCUGUUUCUGAUGGACUGCUCAUUGCAGAAUCAGUGGAAAGUGAAACCGUGGAGAGCGCUGGGACUUGUGUGAAUUCCCUUGGUUUUUGCACUGCAUGCCGUCACAGGCACUGUUCUUAAAACAAACAAAAGCCUCAGUGGACUGAGAAAUUAAAAAUGUCAAUCGAUAAAAAUGAAAAUCUGAACUGCCUGAUGCAGUUGCUUUGCACUGUUUUUAGGACUGACUCUAGGUACUUCUAAGUAGCUGAAAGUGAAAAGAUCAGAAAUCAAGUCGCUAAUACAGUUUGUCUUCAAAUGCUUCCUCUGGAUGUUUAAUAGUGCGUCCCUGAGGAAGUCCCACUCUUAAGCAGUGUGACUAUGAAAUCAUUUUGACUCUGCAGAGUAGGUAUCUGAGAGCUCUGGGGAUUUUCCUCACCUGACUCCCACGGCUUCCUUUCCAUGGUCUUCAUUGCAGUGACUGCAAAGUUGUUGUGAUCCACAUCCCUCAGAGUCGAUGCCAUCUCCAGUCGAAGCAAAUUUAGAGGGGGGGCAGGAGUUACCACUGCAGCAUGUACUCCACAGGCAUACAAACCCAAUCACGUUACUGGUCAAUUCUAAAGGAUCCUGUAAACAUUCUCCGGAGGGUUUUAGAGCUUCUCUACAAAUAAAUGCAGAAGCGUUCUGUGCUUUUCAGACAGCUUUUUCUAACCAUGAUGUGAACUACGCUCAUAAUAUAGCACAUUCAUAACACUAACAAAAGUAACUCAGCAGGUCCUACUUGUAAGAGUUAAUCACAAAAGAUCCUAACGCACUUUGCAAACAAUGUGUGCUUGCAUGCAGGAACUGUUCCUCUCUCCUGGUACACAGCCUGGCACUGGGUGGAACACAGAAGCUGUCUGACAGCAGGAUAGCACAGGAGGCAUUGGGUCAGGAAGGGUGAGAAUCUAUGAGAUGCAGUGCCAAGCUGUGGAGAAUGUAAGGUAACCAAAAUGGAAACUGAUCAGGAUUUUUAAUAGCUGGCUGAUUGAGAUGUUUCACUGAUCUGCAAAAUGUUGGCUGGGUUUGUUUUCUUGGAGCAUGAAAACCUGCUUGUUCCUUCAUUAAACACUACUGAUUCCACAUGUGCUUGUAGGACAGUUCGUGAGCAAAGGUGUGGGGGUGUACAAGGUGCUGUGCCUUCACUUCUAGAUGGUAGUGCAGAAUCUGGUUUGAAAGUGGUGUUAUCUGUGUUGCAUGAGGGCAUCUUGUAUCUCCUUUGGCAUCUGUGUGGAGAGUUGUUAGACUGUGAGAUACCGUACUGCAUAUAUGCAGCUGGGUGACCAUAUAGCGGUUUCCCUAUGGGUAGGCAAGCCUUGGGAGAGGAGGGCAGUGCUGCUGCACCCCCACCAGUUCUGGUAUCUACAGCAAUUGGAUUCUUUCUUGGGGAUCUUUCCUUUGCCCGUUGACCCAACCUGACCCUGCUUGGCUUUGCAGGAGCUGCCUGGAUCACAGCUAACGGUGGAAUGUCUGUAGACAGAAAAGUGCAAAGUCUGACACUGAUCCUACCAAUGAGUAGGAAGGCGUGUACCUGCACUGUGUUCUUAAUGAGUGUUGAAGCCAAAACAUCCAUGCAUUUCUCUUUUCAUCUAUAAUCAGUAAAGCAUAUUUAAGAGUCGUCUGCAAAGCUAACCCCUAUGAAAGAACAAAAACAAAAAGUAAAAACAAAAAGUUAAACAGUUUCCAAAGCCACCUCCUUAUUCAGGAUGGGCAUGAACACUGUCAGAACACCCUCAUGCUUUUCUGACAGUAUCAUUCAACCUUAAAUUGAGGUGGCCUCAUUCUGAAGGGCUGCAAGGAGCUCAGUCUCUGAUUUUUUUCCUGCCAUGGUGAUUUUUAUGCUUUUAGCAAGACUGGAGGUGGGUGGGCAGAGGAUGUCUUUACAUAUUGGUUAUUUCACUUCUUACUUUUCCAUGUAAUUUCAAUCUGAUCCCUUGAGCUGCUACUCUGACAGUGAGUUUACAUUUGAGUUUUUUUAGUUUAUUAGGUUUUGCAUAACAGGUCAACUUUUUCCCUUAUUUGUCAUCAGACAAUGCUGAUGGUUUUAGUAGGGGUACGUUUUGGGUGCAAUUCAAGGCAUAACGUUGUCUUUGUGUGUAAGUAGACAUGAGCACAGAAAUAUUUGUAGUGACAUUUGUUCCCAGCUGAAGUGAGUGUUCUUGAAGCGUUGGUUUUGUAGGAUUGUGUGUACCAAGAAAAUAAGAAAAGAGUACUCAAGAACACUUUGUGUUCCAGAAACUGGUCAAGAUCUGUUUGUCUCCUGGUUUCCUUAUUCAAGAAUUUUUCCAUUGCCUUUGUGUUUCCCAAGGCAAACCGGGCAAACUUCAGCAGUGGUUUAAAUGUGCUGGGGAUAGAAGUUAAGCGUAAAUGUCACCAAGUUGAGUAUCCAGGUGUGAUUUUAAAAGUGAAUGAAGCAAAACCAGAUGAGCUUUGCUUUCAGGUUUGGAGACAUAUCAGAUGGUGAGGCAAAGCAAAAAGCAAGUCUGAUACUUCUGAUGCUGCUAAAGCAAGCACUGCUCAUGAAACCGCUGGCCAUUAAAACCUGCUUAUUACUCCAAUGAGAUGAUGAUGUUUUGGGAAGUGAAUUGAACAGUUGUAGUGAAGCUCAGGCCCUGGAAAUCCAGCUCUCCCUGGCUGUAAUGGAGUCAAGAUCACUUACAGACCCUUUUAAAAGGGUUCAGGCUCAGUGUGUGGGGGGCGAUAGGUGUUUUCCUUCAUGCUGCUGGAGAUACGGGUGUGUGACUGUUGUCACUGCCCAGAGGCAGAGACUUGGGAUAAUUAAGGAGGAGCACAGACACCUAAAGAGAGAGAAUUACCAAUAGCUAGACGUGCAAAAUUAAAACAAACUGGUGAUUCUAGUUUCAGGUAGUGACUCUACUGGUUUCACACAGCAGAGAGUGUACACAGGGAGUGUUACGUCGUAGUGCCAGCAGUAGCUUUCUUAGCACCACUCAGACAGCCGCAACUGAUUGAUUUUUGUUCCUCUAAUUUUGACUCCUUUUGAUCAGUGGGAAAAACAGGUCCCUCUAGGCCAAGGGACCAAACCCAGUAUCUGGCAGUCGCGUCUCAGGCCUGGUUCUCCCCAGACUACAUUGCGAGUGGUUGUAUCAUGUGUGACUCAUGGCCUAAUUAAAUAGUCUUAAAAAGGACGCAAUUCCCCACAUUAGCCGCAUUUUUUACGAAGCAUAUCCAAGUAUUUUCUGUCUCUUGGAAAGUCAGAUAAGUGGUGUUAAAUCGACAUCAGGUUGCCAAAACACAGCGCUGUCUGCCCCGCGCGUGCAGAAACAGGCUGUCCUGUGAGCAUGCUGGACGGCUGCCGAGGACGGCUGGCUCAGAAGGGGAGACUUCUCAGGCUUAUCAACAAGGGUGUGCAGCUAAGUGCUAACUGGGCCCUCACUUCUUGGAUCGAAAAACCAGUGCCAACAGAAAUACCUUUCCAAGCCGAGGCUCUCAAAUGAAACACCUAAUUUUGAUUGUCUUGGUACCUGAUGUUUUACAACCACAAACUGUUGUGAGGCUAUUGGUAAUGUGAGAGGCUUUAUCCCUCUGAAUUAUCAUCUUUGCAGAUGUGUUUCCUUUAAAUCUCUCCCGUGUUUUGCGUACUUCAGCUUUUCUCUGCUGCCCCAAAUUUGUCACUGCGCUAUGCUAAUGCAUUUUCUGGCUUUCAAAGCUGGCCUGCAUUGUUUUGUAUUUGGUGGUUUCUUUGGAGGGGAAUCCCUUUUUCAUUAAGACCUAAACUACCCAAUAGCAUAGGUGCUCUGCAGAUUAAUUUUCAAAAAAAUCCUCCAGAGCAGGCAUCUGCCUGGAAGAGCUCCUAAUUCCCAGGCUGCCAUAAAGGAGAGAAGGGCAGAGGCUGUGCAGGAUGGGGCAGUGGGACUCAGGUGACCCGAGUUCAGUGCCAAGCCCUUCAACAUUCCCAUUGCUGUAGAGCAUUUGCCAUACCCUUUACUCUAUUGAAUUCCUGAUGAUGGUAUUUCCUUACCCUAUCCCUCCAAUGUAUCUGUUUAACUUCUGUGUUUUGUAGCACAGAAUUGUGCAUGCAGAUGUGGAUGUAUGUGUGGAGCAGGACACAGAAAUCUCCCAGCUCAGGGGGAGGACAGCAGUCAGCAUCACCAUUCUGGAGCUGCUGCGAUCUUCCAUCCUGGGAGCUCCUGUAUUUGAGGCUGAUCAUCACUAGGUAACUCCUCAGUGUAGGAACAAGAAAUCCACUCUUCUCUGCAAGUUGUAUCAGCACAGACAUCCAGCUGGCACCCCCUUUCUAUUGAGGUUUUGGGGAUUUGCUGGCUGCAGAUGUAAAAACAUUUUGCUACUUCAGUUCUACCUUGACAGAUUUCCCUCUGAAAGCAGCGUAGUGCUGCAGCCGCAUCUGGCUAAGUGUGGCAUUGCCUAAUGUGCUUGCUGCUGUGAAGCCUCCUGGUUUUUGCCCAGAAAAGGCAAAAACCUCCCUAACAACAAUCUGCUGGAUCUGAUUUAUGGAUGCAGCAUGCUUUUUCUUUCUUCCUGCCACAUCCCUCUUACCUUUCUCGAGUAAGCAUACAGUAGGUGCUUUUUGCAAUUGGCGUUUCCCUCCCCUGCUCCCUCCCUAUCAAGCACACAUCACAUGAUAGCAGGCCUCACCCAGGCCCAAGUGACUGCCUAUCACAGCGUGUCGUCAGCUGGCACUGCUCCCAAUUCUCCAGAGCUGGCAACUGUCCUCUUUUCUUUGAUCUUCGAUAACGGGAACAGAUUAGCGUUGGGAGCAGCCAGAGCGCUGCUUUAUGGGGCUUUAUUCCUGUAUACCUCUGGUUUUCCACAAAUCUUGCCAAGUGAGUUUCCUGAUUGUGGGCUAUGUCAUUUGCUAUUCUCCCCUUCCCUGCCCCCACCCAUUUCCUGACAUCACUUUUAUUUUAAAUCCUUCUGUAGCAGUGGUCCAGUUCUGCUGGAGCACUCCACCCAGUACUUCCGAAUGCAGUAAAUCUUGCUGAUCGGGGGAUUUAUAUGGUAUACAGAGUUAGGAAAACUACAAAGCUUUGCAGUGCUUAGAAACAAACAAAAAUCUUCAUUUCUCUUCUGCAGUCUCCUGCAGUGACUCUUUUUUUUUUUAAAGCUCUGAUGUUAAGAAGCAGAUAAAACACAUUGCUUUUGUAGACUACCAUCGUCAUCUUCCGAUGUUAUGGACCAUGUUUAUUUGGACUCUGGCUGCCUUCAGGUGUAGGAGCUGGUCAUUCUGAGGCUGAAACUGUCCAAGGCAAAGGCAAGGUUUGUGCUCCUGGUGAUUAUGAUAAUCUCUUGGCAGUCUUGUUGGCAUACACCGUGCUCUCUCAGCUUUCUUAUCCGUAAAGAGAAAGCUGGACUCCCCACUGGUGUUAGGACCAGCUACUUUUCUGCUGGAAAUCCCAAUAAACCAGUGAACUUGGAUUUCCUUAUUUCUCUGGCAUUUGAUUUUGUCCCUGUGCCUACUGCUUCGAGUCACAGAAGUUAGGCACAGGCUGGGUUUUGUCUUUUGCUUCUCUGUUAAGCAUGGGAGAUGGGUGUAAAAGAACACGACAAAUUCUAAGUAUUUUUUUCCCAGCAUAAAGUCAAAGUCUUUGCAACUGCGUAAGCAGGAGAGGGAUUGGAUGGAUUUUAGUCAAAUGUGUUUGUACCUGGUCUCAGCCUGCUCCUCUUAUUAAGGAAACUAAUCUAUAUAACAGUGGGCAAUUGAUGGAAUUUAUAGCCCAGUACUAUGUGCUACAGGUUUAACAGACGUUGUCCCGUAGGACACCUACAAUUUGCUGCCCUGAAACACUGCCUGAGAUCAAAGAGCCCUUUUGCCAUAUUGCCCACGAGCUAUGGAUGGUGACCAGGUGCUGCUGCAGCCCAGGGCAUGCUUGGUGCUUGUUCACGUGGGAGAGAGGAAGCUGAAGGGGUAACUUGUCUGUGAAAUGCUUUCAGGUCCUUCCAGCUCAGUUGUCUGAUAGAAAUGCAGCCAGCUUUUUGCCUACUUCUAUCUCCUUGCCUUUAGCCAUGGUUUAAUUUUUGCUUACCUUGUACCUGUCUACGGUUACCCGCCAUUGUAGCAUAGCCUCAGAAUUCUGGGUAGAACGUAUCUGGUGGGAGAUGUCUUGCGUGGAUUUAGCAAGCUUUGCUUCUUGCUGCAGGAGUGAUGCUUACUGGUGAGAGGAGGUGGAAAGCUUCAAGGAUACGGGUCCUGCAGAAGGGACCCUGCCUGUUUUUUGACAAGAGGCAUCACCAUUGGUUCUUCUAGAGGCCCAUCAUCAGGCAAAUGUACCUUUUCAUUUUGUCUUGCUGAGGCUUUUGCACUUUAUCUGUGUGUUUUCUCCCUCAUGCUAGGUUGAAUUGCAGCAAGGCAACUGAUCUGAAUUAUUUUUGUUAUUGUACUGUGGCAGAAAGCAACAGCCCACUGCAAGCAGAGCAUGUUUGCACGAUACCCUCACCGCCCUCAUCCUGCACACUGCGUUGUGGCUCUUGGGUUCCUUCCAGGGGAAAUUCCAGGCAUCGGCUGUUGGAGGGCCCGGUGUCACAAGCACACUGUCCUCAGUGGUCCUCCCCAAAAGUGGUGCACAGUGGGGAUAUUUCUGCUGUGAAACCUCAUUACACUUGCAAAUGAUACAGAUGUAAGAAGAGCGCUGAACUUUCUGGAGAAUAGGGUUAAGAUUCAAAACCUUGACAACUUUGAAAAGCCACCUGGGGGAAAUAAGAGGCAGUUUGGUAAAGGACAUGCACGAAGUUGUACUCUUAGUGAGAAGAACAGGCAGCCCAGAUACUGCAUGGGAGAUGGCUCUGCAGAAGGGGGCUGGAGCUGAUGGUGUGGCCCCAGGGCUGGCACAAGUCACCAGGCUUGUGCAGCUGUGAUAAAGACAAGCUGGGAUUUAUAAGCGAGGAGGGUGCAGAGAUCCUUCCACCCAGCACAGCUUGGUGAGGUCUCACCUGGGGUCUUGAACCAGUUUUUUUGCUUGCAGCCUUCAAAAACAGCAAAACAGCUCACACAGGCCAGGUUUGUUUGUUUUUAAAAGAAAAACAAAUCUAGAGGGAAAUGGCAUGAAGGACUGGUGAUUUGUCAGGCAUGAUUGUGAGGAGAAAAUGAAGGCACUGAGGUUGUUUCUUCUGUAAAAGAGAAAACUGAGGAGAUGGAUGGACAUGGUCACACCUGCAAAAUGUAGGAGGGAAUAACAUGUUUAGCUUGUUCCUUGGGAAGGGGACUGUAUCUGUUGUCCAUGGUAGCCAAGUGCAUGGCAAUCCUGAUGGCAAGCUUUCACCAGAAAUCCGCAGGAGUCUCUCUCUUUUUAGCUAAUGUAUUUAUUUCUGUGGUUAUGUUCCCUCUUUCUCUUCCAUUUUGCAGCAGGCCAGCAUGAGAAGGGUGCAGUGCAAAGGGAGACCUAUGCUUCAUCCUGCAAGCCAGGGGAGUGGGCCAGCUGCAGAGCUGACCUGUGCCUUUGGUCAGCGAGUGUAGCAGCAGAGCUUGCCAGAGCUGAAAAGCAGGGGAUUAGUAUCCAGGUGUGGCUGCACGAAUGCUUGGUCAGAGGUAUGUUCUGACAGCAGGUGAGGAGAUUCUUGGCUCCUAGUUCAGGGAAGUUUAACAAUCAGACUUGGCUUGCACAAGAAGAUCAGUCAUUUUUCUCUGGAGGUUACCAGGGUGAGAGCAAGAACGCCGCUUUCGACUUGCUGCAGGACUUGGUGGCAGGAGCACACAGAAGCUCUCAGGAUAUGACAGAUGAGACAGAUGCAUCCUGACAGGCAGCCCUUCAGCACCAGCAGUCAAAAGGUGGUGGUUGCACUGCUGCAGGGGUUCGGCUCCAUGUUCUAGGGAGGCUGUCAUAGGGACAAGCUUGUUCUCCUCUGUCAUGCAGCAACUACUGCAGCAAAGCAAUAUUAGGAAGUAACGUUUUAGCUGUCUUCCACGUGAUUAGUCCUGCUUGAGGGAGGGGGAAGGGCCUCACAUUCUCUAUUAAUCAUUUCUUCUUCUCUCCUCCCAUCUGCUAAGUGAGUCUCUUGCUCUUGCAUACGCCACUAGUAUUUGAUCAUCUUAUUGCUAUCUUUCUCCCUCCCCCUCCUUGUCGGUUCUUUGUUGAGCCUCUACCCUAUUUGCUCCCAGCUUCUUGUAGAGAUGCUGCCUAAUGAAUCGAUUCACUCUCCUACCUCUCUUCCCUUUAAAAAAAAAAAAAAAGUGUGGAGGGGAACCCCUUAAACUGCCCAGUGCUUCAUUCUCUCUCCCCAUUCAUUAUGUGUUUUCCUGGUGGUCAGCACCUUCCAGCCAAAGUUGUGGAGCACGUGUGGGCAGUGCCUGGUUCCCUCUCCUCCCCUUCGUGCCCUCCCCUGAGGCUGCAGGCCUGACUCCUCGUCCACCUCCUUCUCUUCCAGCUGCUUUCACUAGCCUCCUAGCUCUUCUUGGCAUUGAGGAGCCCGGACAUCUGUAGAAGCAGCUGGAAGCAAGAUGGAGAGCCAAUAUCCUGCAGCUCACCAGAUCUCUUCAAACUUCAGCUCAGGAACCAGCAGCCUAAGACAGAGUAAUGCUUAAUUUGGUGUGUUUUUACACUGCUUAGUUUGCACUGCGCACUGUUUGUUUGUUUCUCACCAUUCCCCCCAAAAACUGCACCUUUAAUGAUGCAUGCCAUUUCAGAGCUAUAGCAAAUCAUUCUAGAAAUCUUGUUGCCAGUCAGUAAAAAUGAAUGUUCUUACACAAUAGUGAAAGAAGGCAAAGCUAAGCUUUGUUUCCACGUGGAUCUUCACCAUUACCUGCCAAUAUCAUUGGAUGGCUCAAAUGACAGAAUUUAAUCCCACAUUAACUGAAAUGGGGCCUCUCUCAAUCAGCAGCACCACACACUCAUAUUCCUGAGGGAGGAGCAGCAGUACUUUUGCUGGUUCCCCAUCACUUUGUUACCUGAUUCGCAUCAAAACCUUAAUGGGAAAGUGUCUCGGCGGUGUUGUGAAAGGUGAUAGUCCUCUUGCCCUGUAAACACUGAGAGCCAGUUAUGCGGAGCUUGGCAGGGCAGAGCUGCUUGCAGAAGAGAGCAAAAGAGGUCCAGGAUUCCUGCUACUGUUCACACAGAGGUGGGGAAGCUCACGGGUGUCAGGAGUUGCAGCAUGGCUUUUGGGAAAGGGCCCCCGAAGGGAAGAUUGUGAGUCAUGUUGCUGUGAAAAGCCUCACAGCAUGUUACAUGAUGCAAGCUACUUGGCAAAUGCUGUAACUGUGUCACCGAAGUGGCUGAGACGCAGCGCCCAGUGAGGAGGCUUUGCCUUGUGAGCAUGUGAACGUGCUGCAGCCCUUACUGGAUCACGAGGGCAGCCUGGGAAUGCCACUUACACUGCACGCUGCCACGAGAGCUGUGUUUGCAGGGGGCUUCUCGCGCUCCACUUUGGGGUUUGGAAUUUGCUGGUUGUGUGGCAGAGAGCAUGUAAUAAGAUAAAUAGCCAGGGAGAUGCUUUAGACAUGUUUUUCUAAGGACUUGGAAGAUGAGCGUGAUGAUUAGGGAGAACGUUUUUAUAGAGCCUUUAGCCCAGCAUCCUGUUGCACUGUUGCAACAAACAGCAGUUAUGCAGGAAGCAGCUAUUGGCUUUUUUAAUGCCUCAUUCCUUUUGCAGCUAGCGGUAGCUGUUU